This 953-nucleotide ribosomal RNA is filed under the name Streptomyces sp. ADMT 14. Its description in RNAcentral is "bacterial SSU rRNA". It matches the Rfam family "Bacterial small subunit ribosomal RNA". Lineage: Bacteria; Bacillati; Actinomycetota; Actinomycetes; Kitasatosporales; Streptomycetaceae. The record is from RNAcentral.
GACCACUUCGGUGGGGAUUAGUGGCGAACGGGUGAGUAAACGUGGGCAAUCUGCCCUGCACUCUGGGACAAGCCCUGGAAACGGGGUCUAAUACCGGAUACUGAUCCGCCUGGGCAUCCAGGCGGUUCGAAAGCUCCGGAGGUGCAGGAUGAGCCCGCGGCCUAUCAUCUCAGCCUGAUGCAGCGACGCCGCGUGAGGGAUGACGGCCUUCGGGUUGUAAACCUCUAACAGCAGGGAAGAGCGCAAGUGACGGUACCUGCAGAGGAUCUUUGGGCCGAUACUGACGUUGAGGAGCGAAAGCGUGGGGAGCGAACAGGAUUAGAUACCCUGGUAGUCCACGCCGUAAACGGUGGGCACUAGGUGUGGGCGACAUUCCACGUCGUCCGUGCCGCAGCUAACGCAUUAAGUGCCCCGCCUGGGGAGUACGGCCGCAAGGCUAAAACUCAAAGGAAUUGACGGGGGCCCGCACAAGCGGCGGAGCAUGUGGCUUAAUUCGACGCAACGCGAAGAACCUUACCAAGGCUUGACAUACACCGGAAAACAUUGGGUUAAGUCCCGCAACGAGCGCAACCCUUGUCCCGUGUUGCCAGCAAGCCCUUCGGGGUGUUGGGGACUCACGGGAGACCGCCGGGGUCAACUCGGAGGAAGGUGGGGACGACGUCAAGUCAUCAUGCCCCUUAUGUCUUGGGCUGCACACGUGCUACAAUGGCCGGUACAAUGAGCUGCGAUACCGCGAGGUGGAGCGAAUCUCAAAAAGCCGGUCUCAGUUCGGAUUGGGGUCUGCAACUCGACCCCAUGAAGUCGGAGUCGCUAGUAAUCGCAGAUCAGCAUUGCUGCGGUGAAUACGUUCCCGGGCCUUGUACACACCGCCCGUCACGUCACGAAAGUCGGUAACACCCGAAGCCGGUGGCCCAACCCCUUGUGGGAGGGAGCUGUCGAAGGUGGGACUGGCG